GUACACUCCUGCGGGAGGCAGCAGUGAGGAAUAUUGGACAAUGGGUGGAAGCCUGAUCCAGCCAUCCCGCGUGCAGGAAGACGGCCCUAUGGGUUGUAAACUGCUUUUAUCUGGGGAUAAACCUACUUACGUGUAAGUAGCUGAAGGUACCAGAAGAAUAAGCACCGGCUAACUCCGUGCCAGCAGCCGCGGUAAUACGGAGGGUGCAAGCGUUAUCCGGAUUUAUUGGGUUUAAAGGGUCCGUAGGCGGACUGAUAAGUCAGUGGUGAAAUCCGACAGCUUAACUGUCGAACUGCCAUUGAUACUGUUAGUCUUGAGUAAGGUUGAAGUGGCUGGAAUAAGUAGUGUAGCGGUGAAAUGCAUAGAUAUUACUUAGAACACCAAUUGCGAAGGCAGGUCACUAAGUCUUAACUGACGCUGAUGGACGAAAGCGUGGGGAGCGAACAGGAUUAGAAACCCCGGUAGUCCCAUGA
Molecule: ribosomal RNA, 473 nt
Filed under: uncultured organism
Description: partial 16S ribosomal RNA
Rfam family: Bacterial small subunit ribosomal RNA
Source: RNAcentral